This 292-nucleotide ribosomal RNA is filed under the name uncultured bacterium. RNAcentral describes it as "partial 16S ribosomal RNA". The record is from RNAcentral.
GGACUACCCGGGUUUCUAAUCCUGUUCGCUCCCCACACUUUCGCUCCUCAGCGUCAGGACAUUCCCAGAGAACCGCCUUCGCCACCGGUGUUCCUCCUGAUAUCUGCGCAUUUCACCGCUACACCAGGAAUUCCGUUCUCCCCUGAAUGCCUCUAGUCUGCCCGUAUCGAAAGCAGGCCAGGUGUUAAGCACCUGGUUUUCACUCCCGACGCGACAAACCGCCUACGAGCCCUUUACGCCCAAUAAUUCCGGACAACGCUCGGACCCUACGUAUUACCGCGGCUGCUGGCAC